RNAcentral lists this long non-coding RNA (1800 nucleotides) under Homo sapiens (human). RNAcentral's name for it is "HSALNT0367307". The record is from RNAcentral. Lineage: Eukaryota; Metazoa; Chordata; Mammalia; Primates; Hominidae.
UGUCAUGACUUCUGAGCUGUUUGAAAGAGAAUGUUCUCAGAAUCAAGCCAUUUGGAAUGGACAGAAUGAAACAGAAGUCAAAGAGCUGUCUACACGUCCUUCCCAAGCUAUAAUUAAGAUGGAAGCUCAUUUGCCAUUCUGAGGAUUGGUGCAAUCAAGCAUAUGACAGCAAGAUUUUGGAACAUUUUUAUCAGUUUUGGAACCACAGCUCCUCCAUGGCCAAAUUUCUCUUUAUGUCUCAGGUUUCAGAGCAUGGCCUAAUAUUUCCCGUACAGACAGGCCGCUCCGCUGCCCUUCUGAUUCAGCUGACCACUGUGCACUGUAGCGACGUGCAAGGGGUAGGAGUGGACACAUUCCAGCUCGCUGGGGUUUGGAACGGCACCUCUCAUUCCCAGAGAAGGGAUUCUCUGUGGAGGCUGAGUUGGCAGUGCUCAAGCUUGCCUUGCGGUUGGCACGUAGGCCAUCAGCAAUCAUCUGAGUAUCAACCUGCCAAGCUGAGGCCGUCCUGGGGCACAGAGAUUUAUUGCUAACAGAGGAAAGAAAAGAAACCAUUUCCUUAAUUCUGCUUUGCAGGCCACUCUCAUGGAAAGGAACUCCCCUGCUGCCCUGAUCAGUUCAAUAUCUAACUCAUCAUGCCUGUGUUCUUCCCCAGCAGCUCAGGCCGGUCUGCUACCAGGAACAGGUGCCAAAUCAGAGUGUGGAAUUUUCCCAGCAGGCCCCAGGGUGUGUUGCUGCCAAGGCAACUGUGGUAGGGUUGGGGAAUAACUAGCGAACCACAAAUCCAGAAAAGGAAGAGGAGGCCUCCUUUUCGGCUUGGGCCAACUCAGAUGUGCCAGUAAAUAUGAAUUGGUUGGAUUUGACUUCUCAAUGAUACACAAUGAUUCUCUACCUGGACUAACACCACAGAGGAUGCCAUAGAAACUUCUGAGAUUUCGAUGAUAAAUAUAAAAAGUUGAAGCUUUGGGGAGCCCAAGCCAGGAAGCUGGAGAAGUCCUCAUCUCCUGAAGCUGCAAGAAGAGACAGAGCCCAGCCUGAUAAUCUGAGGACUGAACUUCAAAGGUCACCCAGCCAAAAUAAUCUACUCUGCCUGCCCAAGUGUGAAGCCUAGUGUGAAACCUACUCCAGAGGUGAAACCCCACCAAGAGAUGAAAACCACUUUGGGAAAUACCUUAUGUCUGAUAUUUUCUUCUUCAUUUUUUGAUAGGACUUUUUUUUUCCUGCUCAAAAGUGACUAUCUGGUAGUACAUUCCCAGAGGAUCCUGGCCAGGUAACAGAGAAGUCUGAAAGGCUACCUUGAGAUAAGGUACUAACAGCCUGUGGUAGCUUUAAUAGAAUAUUCUGGUUUAAAUAACAACCUUGAACAUCCAACUUAUUCAGAUUCAACAAACAUCUAUCGAGUAUUUACCCUCUGCAGAUAAGACAAGGCCAUGUAUUAGAUGUUUCCUCAUGUGUUAUAUCAUUUAGUGAUUACAACAAACAUCAAAGGUAGCAUCCCUACUUUACAAAGUAAAACACAGAUACUCAGAAAGGGUAAUUUAUUCACUGAAAGUCAAAGUGAGAUGAAUUCAAACAUAGGUCCUCUAACACCCAGGGCACAGACUGAUGAUGUUCAUGACCAGCUGAGUUUAUGAAAUCUCUUACGCUGUCUGUCCCUAAUCUGCCUAUACAUUAGCAAGGUGUAGAGAAGCACCAUGCUUCUGUCCAACAUAACAGGGUUAGAAGGUCACUUUUCUGCAUGUUUCUACAUUAUUUUCAAAACUGCCAUUCAUCUGCGUUUUCAAAUAAAUAUCAACAAAAUUA